ACGAACGCUAUGCACGAAUCAUCCUACGAUCUGCAGGAGAAGGAAGUGUGGUACUAGCCACCAAGGAUGGAUUUCUGAUUUUUCUCUCUAGUCUCUCUCUAAAGAGUGGCUAGGGUUUGGAUUGUGAAGUAAGUUGUAUCCAAAGUGGAGGCUACAUAUCAUAUAUAUAGCGAAUUAAAAACCACUAUUCAAAACCCUAAUUUGUAAAAUCC
Molecule: long non-coding RNA, 212 nt
Filed under: Panax ginseng (ginseng)
Lineage: Eukaryota; Viridiplantae; Streptophyta; Magnoliopsida; Apiales; Araliaceae
Description: long non-coding RNA (PGIN_LNC018387)
Source: RNAcentral